UGUAAGAGAAAGCCUAAUAUGGAUAUAACUGGCUUACAUGACGUCCAGGAAAGGAUGUGAACCCUGCAGUUCUCAGCCAAUGAGGAACCAGGGAAGGGACUCGCGUGCCAGGGAAUAAAUUACUUGCACCCAGUGCCCCAGGUGUGUCUGCCCACAGGACACCCGAUCCUGCAAGACUGUCAUUAGAGCCUCGCUCCGCUGUUCUCUGUCUGCCUGUCCGCUUACUGAGUUUGGGCCGGGUGAAAGGACUCCUCACCCACACUCCCCCACUUGAGUUCUUCGCUCACUGCUUCCAGCCUGGGGACCUGGUGUUAGUAAAGUCUUGGAAAGAAGAUGGACUCCAGCCCAGCUGGGAAGGCCCCCUACCCAUGCUCCUGACCACAGAAAAUGCAGUGAGGACGGCUGAAGAGGGCUGGACUCAUUACACCAGAAAAAAGAAACUGAUGGAGGGAUCUGGGGACACAACAGAGAAUUGGAAGGUGUCCCAGGUAGCUAACCAACCCUUAAAGCUAGAACU
Manis pentadactyla (Chinese pangolin) is the source of this 517-nucleotide long non-coding RNA. RefSeq lists it as uncharacterized. NCBI's taxonomy places the organism in Eukaryota, Metazoa, Chordata, Mammalia, Pholidota, Manidae. The record is from RefSeq and is a predicted model, not a curated record. The transcript is spliced from 2 exons.